UCAUGUAUACUAAAUUAAAUGUUUUUAGGAAUUCAGUGAAAAUCUGAAACGGUCCCGCCACUGUGAGAGAAUUCAUUUCUCGUAGUCAGAUACUAGACAUUUAAUGGUUCGGUUUCCUUACUUCGAGGCAAAGUAAGGGACUUUUA
RNAcentral lists this small RNA (146 nucleotides) under Enterococcus ratti. Lineage: Bacteria; Bacillati; Bacillota; Bacilli; Lactobacillales; Enterococcaceae. The record is from RNAcentral.